Molecule: long non-coding RNA, 1709 nt
Organism: Meleagris gallopavo (turkey)
Lineage: Eukaryota; Metazoa; Chordata; Aves; Galliformes; Phasianidae
Source: Ensembl
AUGGCAUCGGCACGGCACAACACUGCGGGGCUGGGAGAAGGAGAGGGCACGGCCCCGAGCGGAGCGCACGGCCUUCCCGUACCGGAGGUGCCCGUGCCGGAGCCGCCGCCUGCCGCCUGCCGCCGGUACCGGAGAAGCACGGCGCGGGAUUUGGGGCGGACGGAUUUGGAGCUCCCUCAGCCCGCAUUUAGCCGGCUGAAAGUCAGCAAAACGGGUCUAACGGCGGAGCACGGGACGGCGGUACCAGGAGCGGCGCCGGACACUUCAGCUCUCCAGCCGCCGCCGCAUCUGCCGAGCCCUGGUCACCCGCGCCCCUUCGAGUCCUUCCAGCCGCUACGAUGCCGGCUUCGGCCCUCCGAGCUUACACUGCGACCUCUGUGCUCCCAGACGCGCCGGCCGUGCCGCGCUGCCUGCCCUCGUCCCCACACAACGGCUGGCUGUGACACGCUGCGCUGCAGGUGGACCGAGAGCGGUGACAAAGGCCGACGGCCACGCGUCUGCUGCAGCCACGGGCAGAUGUGCGGAAAGGCCACACAAAGGACGGGCCGUGCCGGCAGCAGCCAGCCCUGAGCGCGGCACGGGGGACGCGGACAUGGGUGGGAGCCGCAGCAAGCUCACGGGAGAAGGAAACGGGCACGGAACGAGCCGUGUGCCCAGCGCUCCGUGUCCCCAGAGCUCCCGCUUCUCAGCUGGGGGAGAAACUACGGAGCUGCUGAAGGCACAAAGCUGUUUUCUGAAGGGCCGGGGCCGGCUUCCCUCCCACGUGCAUUGCUGACAUUUCAGAGGAUCGCUGUUGGUACAGUCCCACGUCCCGAAGCGUCACUGAACAUCCACUCUCUUUGUUAUGCUGUGUCGCCCAUCUCCGGCUCCCAUCCAACAAACUGCUGCUUUCUGAGGGAGAAAUGAUGUCCGUGAGCGCGGUCCCACAGAGGAAGGACUGGUUGUAGGGAGGCCCGGCUGCUCAUCCUGGGGACACAGCAUUACUGCUGCUCGCCCAGGCCGAGGAAUCCAUCCUACUGCCACCCUCCCAGCUCUGCAUCGCUGUUGGGGUUAGGGCUCAUUCACCCAACUUAUCAUCAUCUCACAAAUCAGUUUCAGCUGCACCCACACUGCUUCCACCAAAAUCCAGCUUUGGUGACUAAGAGUGUUAAAAAAAAAAAAAGAUUGUUUUUUCCCCUUUGCUCCAACCCAUUCCUGACUCAAGACACUAAUCCCCUGCCUACCUUUCCUCCAGAGCCAGUCCCGACCUGCAGCCCCUUCAGUCUGCCUAAAAAAACCCACCCCCUAACGCACGCUCUGGAAAGCUUUAUUUAAGAAGCAGCAAAUCAACCCAACCCAACCCAACCCAUCCCGCAGCCGGGAGAACACGCUGGAAAAGAGCGCGGAGAGCCGUGCUGGAGGGCUGCACCCCUCCGCCCCUCGGGGCGUCCCGCAGCCGCCGUGCGUCCCAGGCGGCGCAGCGGAGCGCGCUCCCUCUGUAGGAAGGAGCUUCGUCGCUCUGCACGGCGAUCCUGCUCCCAGAACAGCCACAAAAGCCGGUUGUCGGGCAAGGCACGGCUGAAAACGGCACGGCACAAAGAGCUAACGUAGCACUGAUUUGUCCAUUCAGCAGCCUCUGAUUCCCAUUUAUUCAGAAGGUUUUUUAUAUAUUCAAAUCCAUCCAGGAUCCUCCCCUCUGGAAGCCCCUGCUCGCUGCUGCUUCUAAGCAG